This 433-nucleotide long non-coding RNA is filed under the name Triticum aestivum (bread wheat). Its description in RNAcentral is "long non-coding RNA (TAES_LNC025724)". Lineage: Eukaryota; Viridiplantae; Streptophyta; Magnoliopsida; Poales; Poaceae. The record is from RNAcentral.
AUCACUUACUGAUUAGGAUCUCCUCCAUAGCUAGCAAUAGUAUCACAAAUAAAUGAAAAUGCCUCAAAAGCAUCACUGACCAUGUCACUUAUUGUUCCUUGGGGCAAAUUUCUGCAAGAUAUAUUUACAUAUUUCAUCAACCAGACAUAUGUCAAUCUAUACUUACUCGCCUAGAAGUCAUGAAAUUAGAUAGAAAUGCCAUCAAAGGGUAAGCACCUAUAAUCAAUGCAAGCGACUAUAAUUCCACGCUCCGCUAACCGUCUUCCAAGAAGAGCACCCCACGCCCUGUAACUAAACAGAAUCAUGACCAUCAACAACGGAAGUCACGGAGAAAGGUGUCUUGAUAUGUACCUUAUCUCCUCCUCUAUAUGGACCAGCUGGUGAUAGAUGUGUGGCUGUAGAGAGAGAGUUGACAGUAAACAAACCGAAAGCA